RNAcentral lists this ribosomal RNA (782 nucleotides) under uncultured rumen protozoa. Its description in RNAcentral is "partial 18S ribosomal RNA". It matches the Rfam family "Eukaryotic small subunit ribosomal RNA", at positions 42 to 1301 of the family's 1831-position model. The record is from RNAcentral.
GGUUCAUUCUGGACAGGAGCCGGAGGGGGGAUAUUUGUCGAGGGGGGGAGCGAAAUUCUAAUCCUGACUCAGGAGGUGGUGACAAAUAUUUCUUCGGGUUUCGGUGUGAUUGUAAUGAGGGUAUUCCAACCGAACCACUAUACGAUUAGAGGGGAAGUCUGGUGCCAGCAUCCGCGGUAAUUCCAGCUCUAAUAGCGUAUAUUAAAGUUGCUGCAGUUAAAAAAGUCUCGUAGUUGGAUUUAAGGAUUGGGUACUCUCUCAGAGUAUGCACCCUACUAGUCUUCGGACUGUUACUGUGAGAAAAUUAGAGUGUUUCAGCAGGCUUUCCCCAGAAUACAUUACCAGGGAAAACGAAGCAUUUAGAAUCUUGGUUAACCCAAAAUACGAUUAAUAAAACAGUUGGGGGCAUUACCAUUUACUGCCACCUCAAAUUUCUGGAUUUGUUGGGACUGCGUAGCCCCACCCUUCCCAACGCACCUUUCAUUAAUAAAGGACAAGAUGGGGAUCCAGGCGUUCGCAUCCUGUCCGUAUCCUAUCUUAUAACUAUGCGCUAGGGAUUGGGAGUGGGCUCAACGCAUUCCGUACCUUAUUGAUAAUCUCAUGUUUUCUGGUUCUUGGGGAAUAUGGCCCCAAGAUGACCUUAAAAAUUGACGAAGGCCCCACCGGGAGUGGACCCUGCGGCUAAUCUGACCUCACCGGAACCUUACAGUCCAAACUAAUAAGGAUGACAAAUUGAAGCUCUCCUUGAUUCUGGGGGGGGGGGACGGGCGCACUCUAAUUAG